Long non-coding RNA from Physeter macrocephalus (sperm whale), 237 nucleotides. RefSeq lists it as uncharacterized. The record is from RefSeq and is a predicted model, not a curated record. The transcript has 3 exons. Lineage: Eukaryota; Metazoa; Chordata; Mammalia; Artiodactyla; Physeteridae.
CAGAGAGAGGAGAGAAGGAGUUGGUCAUAGAAGAUUACAAGAAAAGAGAAAAUGAGCAUAAGGUUAAGAACUAGAACACUGCUGGCAUCCACCAACCUUCCCCCACCAGCUUCCCCUCUCAGUUCACAAGCCUGCUCCUUUCCCUUGGAGGCUAGAUGCUGGGAUAAAAAUGCUCAAGUCUCCUUACACCCUUGAAGUGGGUAUCAAAGAAGCCUGGUCUGCCAGCCGAAGUGUUUA